Long non-coding RNA from Sebastes umbrosus (honeycomb rockfish), 772 nucleotides. RefSeq lists it as uncharacterized. The transcript is spliced from 3 exons. The record is from RefSeq and is a predicted model, not a curated record. NCBI's taxonomy places the organism in Eukaryota, Metazoa, Chordata, Actinopteri, Perciformes, Sebastidae.
AACGGUGUCAACUCUUCCUGCUCCAGUCCCCGGACCUCGGCCAGAGGACACAGGGGAGACCGUGGGGAAAUUUCUGUCUGUCAAUGUUUUAUCUCAAAACUGAUUAUCAACACUCGCUGAUGAUGACUUGCAUCUUGCUGAUAGUUUUGCAGCAUGGCCCACAUCCUGUUAUAGCUUCCUCUUCAUCCACAUUGGUUCCAGUGAGCAUCUAAUGUGGUCUUCAGUUAAGUUCAGGUCAUCAGUCAUGGACAAAAGUGUGCUGCUGGUCCUGUUGUGUCUGCAGGUUUUCCUGCUCAUCACAUCCUUCACUUCUACCGAUGCAGCCGCUCUGGUGAGAGAUGAUCCUCAACAACCGUCUAUUGAUCUGGUAGAGAGAGGUUGUGGGCGAAAACGUGGAGCAUGCAGGCUAAAGGACCAGUAGUAUCUUUGUGGUAUACUGGUACAAUAUACGGGCACCAUGUUUCCAUUUAACUACCAACUGGGAGACCUGAGUGCUCCACUCCAAUCAACCCAAGAACAGAUGUCAUCGUCAAACAUAAUUUUCUGCAAAAGGUUGCAUGUCAUCUAUUUUCAAUGUGAAUUUCAAUAACAAAAAGUGGUGAAAAAUGGUGUAUUUUUCAGCCAAGUCUACCAAUACAUUUGAAUUGUAGUGCUUGUGAAUGUGCACUAAUUUGUUAUGUUUAUGGUACAGGGUUUGUUUGAAUCCCAUGUUGGCUGAAAAUGUGGCUGCUUCUGUUUAUGUGGAUGUAAAAGUACAUUAAAGUGCAUUAAA